UAAGCAUAUCAAUAAGCGGAGGAAAAGAAACCAACAGGGAUUGCCCUAGUAACGGCGAGUGAAGCGGCAACAGCUCAAAUUUGAAAUCUGGCUCUUUCAGGGUCCGAGUUGUAAUUUGCAGAGGGCGCUUUGGCGUUGGCAGCGGUCCAAGUUCUUUGGAACAGGACGUCACAGAGGGUGAGAAUCCCGUACGUGGUCGCUAGCCUUCGCCGUGUAAAGCCCCUUCGACGAGUCGAGUUGUUUGGGAAUGCAGCUCUAAAUGGGAGGUAAAUUUCUUCUAAAGCUAAAUACUGGCCAGAGACCGAUAGCGCACAAGUAGAGUGAUCGAAAGAUGAAAAGCACUUUGGAAAGAGAGUCAAAUAGCACGUGAAAUUGUUGAAAGGGAAGCGCUUGCAGCCAGACUUGCCUGUAGUUGCUUAUCUGGACUUUUGUCCGGUGCACUCUUCUGCGGGCAGGCCAGCAUCAGUUUGGGCGGUUGGAUAAAGGUCUCUGUCAUGUACCUCCUUUCGGGGAGGCCUUAUAGGGGAGACGACAUGCAACCAGCCUGGACUGAGGUCCGCGCAUCUGCUAGGAUGCUGGCGUAAUGGCUGUAAGCGGCCCGUCUUGAAACACGGACCAAGGAGUCUAACAUCUAUGCGAGUGUUUGGGUGUCAAGCCCAGACGCGUAAUGAAAGUGAACGGAGGUGGGAACCCUUUGGGUGCACCAUCGACCGAUCCUGAUGUCUUCGGAUGGAUUUGAGUAAGAGCAUGGCUGUUGGGACCCGAAAGAUGGUGAACUAUGCUUGAAUAGGGUGAAGCCAGAGGAAACUCUGGUGGAGGCUCGCAGCGGUUCUGACGUGCAAAUCGAUCGUCAAAUUUGGGCAUAGGGGCGAAAGACU
RNAcentral lists this ribosomal RNA (878 nucleotides) under Phaeosphaeria oryzae. Its description in RNAcentral is "LSU rRNA". It matches the Rfam family "Eukaryotic large subunit ribosomal RNA", at positions 35 to 932 of the family's 3401-position model. Lineage: Eukaryota; Fungi; Ascomycota; Dothideomycetes; Pleosporales; Phaeosphaeriaceae. The record is from RNAcentral.